AGUCGACGAACUUCUUUAUCACCGAGUGCUUGCACUCACCGAUAAAGAGUUGAGUGGCGAACGGGUGAGUAACACGUGGGCAACCUGCCCAAAAGAGGGGGAUAACACUUGGAAACAGGUGCUAAUACCGCAUAACCAUAGUUACCGCAUGGUAACUAUGUAAAAGGUGGCUAUGCUACCGCUUUUGGAUGGGCCCGCGGCGCAUUAGCUAGUUGGUGGGGUAAAGGCUUACCAAGGCAAUGAUGCGUAGCCGAACUGAGAGGUUGAUCGGCCACAUUGGGACUGAGACACGGCCCAAACUCCUACGGGAGGCAGCAGUAGGGAAUCUUCCACAAUGGGCGAAAGCCUGAUGGAGCAACGCCGCGUGGGUGAAGAAGGUCUUCGGAUCGUAAAACCCUGUUGUUAGAGAAGAAAGUGCGUGAGAGUAACUGUUCACGUUUCGACGGUAUCUAACCAGAAAGCCACGGCUAACUACGUGCCAGCAGCCGCGGUAAUACGUAGGUGGCAAGCGUUAUCCGGAUUUAUUGGGCGUAAAGGAAACGCAGGCGGUCUUUUAAGUCUGAUGUGAAAGCCUUCGGCUUAACCGGAGUAGUGCAUUGGAAACUGGGAGACUUGAGUGCAGAAGAGGAGAGUGGAACUCCAUGUGUAGCGGUGAAAUGCGUAGAUAUAUGGAAGAACACCAGUGGCGAAAGCGGCUCUCUGGUCUGUAACUGACGCUGAGGUUCGAAAGCGUGGGUAGCAAACAGGAUUAGAUACCCUGGUAGUCCACGCCGUAAA
Molecule: ribosomal RNA, 777 nt
Filed under: uncultured bacterium
Lineage: Bacteria
Description: bacterial SSU rRNA
Rfam family: Bacterial small subunit ribosomal RNA
Source: RNAcentral